This 543-nucleotide ribosomal RNA is filed under the name uncultured bacterium. RNAcentral's name for it is "partial 16S ribosomal RNA". It matches the Rfam family "Bacterial small subunit ribosomal RNA", at positions 355 to 887 of the family's 1533-position model. The record is from RNAcentral.
UGGGGAAUAUUGCACAAUGGGCGCAAGCCUGAUGCAGCGACGCCGCGUGAGGGAUGGAGGCCUUCGGGUUGUAAACCUCUUUCGCCAGUGAAGCAGGCCUGCUCCUUGUGGGUGGGUUGACGGUAGCUGGAUAAGAAGCGCCGGCUAACUACGUGCCAGCAGCCGCGGUAAUACGUAGGGCGCGAGCGUUGUCCGGAAUUAUUGGGCGUAAAGAGCUCGUAGGCGGCUGGUCGCGUCUGUCGUGAAAUCCUCUGGCUUAACUGGGGGCUUGCGGUGGGUACGGGCCGGCUUGAGUGCGGUAGGGGAGACUGGAACUCCUGGUGUAGCGGUGGAAUGCGCAGAUAUCAGGAAGAACACCGGUGGCGAAGGCGGGUCUCUGGGCCGUUACUGACGCUGAGGAGCGAAAGCGUGGGGAGCGAACAGGAUUAGAUACCCUGGUAGUCCACGCCGUAAACGUUGGGCACUAGGUGUGGGGGGCCCUUUUCCGGGGUCUUCCCGCGCCGUAGNUAACGCAGUUAAGUGCCCCGCCUGGGGAGUACGGCC